CCAAUAGCGUAUAUUAAAGUUGCUGCAGUUAAAAAGCUCGUAGUUGAAUUUCGGGACUAAUAUGUUGGUCGUGCCUCGGUACGUACUGAUAUUUUUGGUUUCUCCCUUCUGACGAACCUUGAUGUCAUUAAUUUGGUGUCUUGGGAAAUCAGGACUGUUACUUUGAAAAAAUUAGAGUGUUUAAAGCAGGCUCACGCUUGAAUACAUUAGCAUGGAAUAAUGAAAUAGGACGUUUGAUUCUAUUUUGUUGGUUUCUAGGAUUGACGUAAUGAUUAAUAGGGAUAGUUGGGGGUAUUAGUAUUCAAUUGUCAGAGGUGAAAUUCUUGGAUUUAUUGAAGACUAACUACUGCGAAAGCAUUUGCCAAGGAUGUUUUCAUUAAUCAAGAACGAAAGUUAGGGGAUCGAAGACGAUCAGAUACCGUCGUAGUCUUAACCAUAAACUAUGCCGACUAGGGAUCGGGUGAUGUUAAUUUUUUAAUGACUCAUUCGGCGCCUUACG
Molecule: unclassified non-coding RNA, 499 nt
Filed under: uncultured Glomus
Lineage: Eukaryota; Fungi; Glomeromycota; Glomeromycetes; Glomerales; Glomeraceae
Description: SSU rRNA
Rfam family: Eukaryotic small subunit ribosomal RNA
Source: RNAcentral